Molecule: long non-coding RNA, 1025 nt
Organism: Salvia miltiorrhiza (redroot sage)
Lineage: Eukaryota; Viridiplantae; Streptophyta; Magnoliopsida; Lamiales; Lamiaceae
Exons: 3
Source: RefSeq, a predicted model, not a curated record
AUAUUUUAAAUCCAGUAAUGAGUGUUUAUUUUUGUUCAUCAGUGAAUGAAAACGGUUUUUAUCCUAAUAUGAAUUCAGCUUAUGAUCCUGAAUUUAUAUUGUUAAAGCAGUUAAUGAUAUUAUUUCAGAGUUAUAACUGACUUAGCAAAGUCACGUUAUUUAUUUAAGCGAGAUGAAAUUUGAUUUUAUUUUUACUCAGAUCGUGAAUUAUUUCCGACUCAGGAAGUUAAUUAAAUCUGCGGAUUUAAUUUAGAUAUCAGAACAACGAACGAAUUAAAUCUACGGAUUUAAUUUAGAUUCAUUUUAUAAUUUAUCGGUUUUAGUGAGAAAUCACAUGUCGAAAUACGAGAUUUAUUUAAAUAAACAGUAUCAAGCAUAUACGAGCACACGAUCCAUCUUACAGUUACAGAAUCACCGAGACAGAGAAAAUACAUCAAUAAUUCUCCUCUACAUUUUUUUUCCUUUCUUUUUCUUCUCUUUUUCUUUCCAUUAAUUUUGUUCCCCACUCCAUCAACUCCACUACCCUAUGCUCCCCACCAUCUCCACUACCUUUGCUCCCCAUCAACUCCAACACUUCACCCAUUCCUUCCAUUUCGCACCAGCAAUCACAAAGAGAAGGAAGACUUGGCUUAACUACUUUGCCAAGAUUUCAAGCUGCUCCAGUCCAGUAGUACCCCAACACUCGAAGCUAGAGUUUAUUGGGUGAAAAACCGUGCAUGAGGUCGAGCGCAAGAAUAAGAGCUCGUCAAGGAGUCACUAAUCUGUAGCAAAGCUUUGCUAUCAGGUUGAGCAGCUGCCGAUGGUGAUGAAGUGACGAGCGGGACUCUUUUGUCUUAUUAUGUAUUAAUGAACUCUAGGGUUACAUGUCUUCAUACAUGUAAUCAGAACCUUAUUCCGCUGCGUACUCAGAAGUUUUAUGUUAUUUUGGAUAAGUCGGAGUUAUCCGAACUUGUUAGUUAUUUGAGUCUAUACGACAAAAACUCUGUUAUAUUAUAGAUAUCUAUGUUGUUAACAAUGAUGAAAUA